AUGAGAGAAUCCAGAGUAACCUACGUCGGAGGUGAAGGAGAUGAAGGCGUGACUCUAGGAGCUGGUUUUCGUAGCAGCCUGAUUUCAUCUUCUAUUUGCCGGAUGCCUAGCGAACUGGUUCCACUUAUCAAUUUAUGCAGGUCUGUUAGAAACUGUUGUUUGCUUGAACUUGUUUCACAUGAAUUCUGGAUUUUCUUUGAACACCAUGCGGGUGUCAACUUGAAUGUGUCGUCUUUUGAAUUUGCAGGCUUAUCAAAAAAGAGAAUUGCUUGCCCAUGA
Vicia faba (fava bean) is the source of this 279-nucleotide non-coding RNA. Lineage: Eukaryota; Viridiplantae; Streptophyta; Magnoliopsida; Fabales; Fabaceae. The record is from the annotation of a GenBank genome assembly.